RNAcentral lists this non-coding RNA (95 nucleotides) under Candidatus Anaerotruncus excrementipullorum. RNAcentral describes it as "TPP riboswitch (THI element)". It matches the Rfam family "TPP riboswitch aptamer (THI element)", at positions 11 to 88 of the family's 105-position model. Rfam says of the family: Vitamin B(1) in its active form thiamin pyrophosphate (TPP) is an essential coenzyme that is synthesised by coupling of pyrimidine and thiazole moieties in bacteria. The previously detected thiamin-regulatory element, thi box was extended, resulting in a new, highly conserved RNA secondary structure, the THI element, which is widely distributed in eubacteria and also occurs in some archaea. The record is from RNAcentral. Lineage: Bacteria; Bacillati; Bacillota; Clostridia; Eubacteriales; Oscillospiraceae.
CACGGGGAGCUGAUGGAAUUCGGCUGAGAGUGCGCAUAGCCCUGCGCGAUACCCGCAAGACCUGAUCUGGGUAAUGCCAGCGUAGGAAAUUUCCG